GUCCCCAAACUCACACACUCUCUCUCUCUCUCUCUCUCUCUGCCUCUCCACGCUACCAAAAGCUCGCGAUCUAGUUUAAUUAAAAUAAGCCUUUUGUUAUCAAAACCUAGAUCAGAGAGUAGAAAGAGAGAGAGUGACUCACCUAGCAUGAGAAAGGACCGGACUGAAAUGUCCGAAGACGACGAUCGCUCCCCGCCGUUAGAUCUUCGCGGAGCGGACAUCGCCGAGUCGUCCAGCAAGACUCGGAACUGCAGCGGAGUUACCGGGCCGGUGGCGGGGCCCGGGCCGAGCUCCAUGGAGUUCCAGGCGCCGUACCCGGACCAGGUGCUCGAGAACGUGCUGGAAAACGUGCUCCAGUUCCUGAGCACACGGCGGGACCGAAACGCGGCGUCAUUGGUGUGCAAGUCGUGGUGCCGCGUGGAGGCGCUGACCCGAUCCGAGCUCUUCAUCGGGAACUGCUACUCGGUGUCGCCACGUCGAGCCACGGCCCGGUUCGCGCGGGUCCAGGCUGUGGCCAUCAAGGGCCGGCCGAGGUUCGCCGACUUCAACCUGAUGCCGCUGGACUGGGGGGCCCACUUCGCGCCCUGGGUGAACGCCAUGGCCGCCGCCUACCCCUGGCUCGAGAAGGUGUACCUGAAGCGCAUGUCGGUCUCCGACGACGAUCUGACCCUCCUCGCCGAGUCCUUCCCGUCCUUCAAGGAGCUCGUCCUUGUUUGUUGCGACGGCUUCGGCACCAGCGGCCUCGCCGUCAUCGCCAGCAAGUGCAGACAUCUGAGAGUGCUUGAUCUAAUCGAAUCUGAGGUUUCGGAUGAUGAUGUGGAUUGGAUAGCUUGUUUUCCCGAGAGCGAAACGAGCUGUCUGGAGUCGCUGAUUUUCGAUUGCGUAGAAUGCCCAAUAAAUUUCGAGGCAUUGGAGAGGCUGGUGGUUCGGUCCCCCUCCUUGAAGAAGCUUAGAUUGAACCGCGUUGUUUCGAUUGGGCAGCUGUACCGCCUGAUGGUUCGAGCUCCGCAGCUCACACACAUUGGAACCGGCUCGUUUAGGGCACCAGAGAGCGUAGCUCAGGGUGAUCCAGAGCCAGACUAUACCGCUGCCUUUGCUGCUUGCAAAUCGUUAGUUUGUCUCUCGGGCUUCAGGGAAAUCUUGGCGGACUACUUACCGGUCAUCCACCCUGUGUGUGCUAAUCUCACCUCCCUGAAUUUCAGCUAUGCGAAUGUUGACGCAGAACAGCUCAAAUCGGUGAUACUUCACUGCCACAAGCUCCAGACUUUCUGGGUCCUUGAUUCAAUAUGUGAUGAAGGACUUCAAGCUGUGGCGGCAACUUGCAAGGACCUGCACGAGCUUCGGGUUUUCCCUAUUGAUGCUCGGGAGGAUAGUGAGGGCCCUGUUUCUGAAGUGGGUCUCCAAGCAAUCUCCGAGGGUUGUAGGAAACUACAAUCAAUUUUGUAUUUCUGCCAGCACAUGACUAAUGCAGCUGUGAUAGCCAUGUCGAACAACUGCCCGGAUCUUGAGGUGUUCCGCCUCUGUAUAAUGGGUCGACACCGCCCUGACCAUGUGACUGGUGCGCCCAUGGAUGAAGGUUUUGGAGCCAUUGUUAGGAACUGUAAGAAGCUCACUCGGCUUGCAAUUUCUGGUUUACUGACUGAUCGCGCUUUCAGUUACAUUGGAAAAUAUGGGAAGUUGGUUCGGACUCUGUCAGUUGCAUUUGCUGGAGAUAGUGACAUGGGGCUUAAAUAUGUGCUCGAGGGCUGUCCUAGACUGCAAAAGCUUGAGAUCAGGGAUAGCCCAUUUGGGGAUUCAGCUUUGCUUUCUGGUUUACAUCACUAUUACAACAUGAGAUUCCUCUGGAUGUCUUCGUGUAGGUUAUCUCCCCAAGGUUGUCAGGAGAUUGCCCGAGCAUUGCCUCGGCUGGUGGUUGAAGUGUUCGGUGGUGAAAAUGGCGAGCUGCACGGGGAUGAAACUGUUGACAUAUUAUACAUGUAUCGGUCUCUUGAAGGGCCAAGAGAAGAUGCCCCAGGAUUUGUGACCAUCUUGCAGUAAAAGAAGCUGAUUUGGCUGUUUGGUGGCUACUGAGCAAGUUGAGAGCAUUUUUUGGGGGAAAAUUGAAGACAGCGGAUGGCUUUUAUACAACCCGAAAGGAGGUCCAUGCAAUCCGUGUCUGUCAAACAAAGAUGAGUGAACAACUCCUGUUCCUGGCUUGAGCAGUUACAAAAGCAUCCAAAGCAGAGGCAAGCAAAUGUGAGAUGGGUAAUAAAUGCCAAAUAUGCAUGGACCAUAUGCCAUAUAUACUUGGUGGGAUCUCUAUCUUUGCCUCCGUUUUUCUUCUUCUGGAUGUGGAAUGAAUGAUCAAUUGACAGUGAGGUCCAUUAAUGAUGUGCUAAAAGUGCCGUGUACAAGUACAAGCUGCGGGACUCCCCCCUUCCAAUUUACAUACACCAUCAGAAUCCCAAUUUACAUAUGCCUUCAGUUGUGCCUUCCUUUUGAAAUCAAAUUGGAAUAGCAGGGGUUUUACUUGUUCUGUUUUAAAGCUCGAUCUGCUGGAUUUCAUUUUUUGAGUUGCUUCUGACUUUCUUUCCAAGUAUGUGGUGCCAUUGGUGGAGGGUGGGACCUAUGAUGAUUUGUCACAACCCCUGCGUUUGCGUUAUAAAGCAGCCAAGGUCCACCAAUGGUCUCUCUCUCUCUCUCUCGCUCAUAAUUAGGAUAGAUAUCCAUCUGCCUUCUUUGUUGGUAUUCUCUCUGGCAGGACGGUAAAAAGCAAGCUUAUCAUCAAAGUGGGAUCUGACUGUGCAAUUGAAUAAGUGAUGGGAAGCAAAGCUUCGGCUUUCUUUCUUGUCGAUCCAUUUGCGUCUCUCUGUAUUCAGUCGAAAUUCUAAUGGGGAUUUUUCUAUUCUA
Alnus glutinosa is the source of this 2889-nucleotide RNA transcript. It is a transcript of the gene named transport inhibitor response 1-like protein, with no coding region annotated. The record is from RefSeq and is a predicted model, not a curated record. The transcript is spliced from 4 exons. Lineage: Eukaryota; Viridiplantae; Streptophyta; Magnoliopsida; Fagales; Betulaceae.